AUUUGACAGUAUUAAUAUCAUUUUGCAGUCUCUAACAGUGAAAUUGGUGACUUAAGGGCCAAGAUAUAUCUUGGUAUCUUGGAUAUUAACACAAAUUAGGCCAAAAAACAGCCAAGAUGUGGGCGACCUCUGGACUCACGGAGAGCCAUCCUUCAGCAACUGAGAAAAGGAAAAACCUCCUGUGGAGGAAACCUCUGGGGAACCAUGGCUUGAAGGACUGCCCUUCCCUCUGGGCAUUAAGAGGCAAUUACAGAGAAUUCAAUAUUUGCUUAUUAAUUUAUAAACUGUUUAACUUGACAGACAGACAGUGACAAACAUACAUAGAGACACAGACACACAAACAGAUAUACAACUAG
Pelobates cultripes (western spadefoot toad) is the source of this 356-nucleotide non-coding RNA. The record is from the annotation of a GenBank genome assembly. Lineage: Eukaryota; Metazoa; Chordata; Amphibia; Anura; Pelobatidae.